CUUAGCUACGCUGGUCGGGGGGCAGGGGCUUCCUGGAGGAAGGGACAUUAACUCUCCCAACAGAGGCUAACAUUCACGGAGAGCUUACCGUGUGCCUGGCCUGACCCCACUGAAUCCUCCCUCAGGACAACCUGGGAGGAAGGGGUUGAUGUUAUCCCUGCUUUACAGAUGGGGAAACCUGGCUCAGAGAACUGGAGCGACUUGCCCCGGCUCACACAGCAGCUGAGGGCAGAGCGGGAAUAUGAACCCAGGAGGUCCAGCUUACUCACAGUCUGGGGAGCGGACUGGACGGGCUUAGAGAGGGCAGCAGAUGAGAAGACCAGGACCAUGGACACCAGGGAGGCGCAAGGGGUCUCCUGGAGCUCAUGGCGAGAGAAGGAGCUGUUGGUGCUGCUAGAAGGUGUGUCCAGGUGCAUAGGUGAGCAAGACCAGGUGUACAGUGAGAGACAAGGGAAUCCCGCCGUUUGUGACAAGGAUGGGCGAGCUCCUCGAGGGCCGGGAGCGUGGGCCGUCUGUGCCGCCGCCUCCAAGCGCCGAUCGAGCCCUGGACAGCGUGUCCUGGCCAGUUGUUCUCUGCACUCGCCGUUCCAGUCCAGGCCCCGGGGCCCGGGAGCUGAUGCCUCCCCAGAGCAGCCCCCAGCCAGCGACGGUGCGAGUGGGGGACAAACGCCCACUCCCUGCCCUGCAGGGGAGAUGGCCCGAGGGUGUGUGGCCCUUCACCCCUGGUUCCCAGCGGGGCUUGAGCCUCAGGGCCCAGGUGGUGGCCGGCCUGGCAACACCUCCUCUGUCCCGGCAUCACCCCCGCCACACAACGCUUAUGGAUGCUGUUUACUGAGCACUUCCUGUGUGCCAGGCCCUGCGUAAAGGGCUUCGAGGGGCUUGCUGUCCUGGAGCCUUAGAGUGGCCCCAGAUUAUGGAUGAGGAAGGGAGCCAAGGUCACAGGGCUGCUGGGACCCAGACCCGGGUCUGAUGGCCUUAGCUAGUCGAGUGAAUGGGAGAGUGAAGCAAUGGGAGGGGACGGUCUCCAGGCCUGAGGGGGGGAGCAAACGACCGGCCUGGAUUCCUGCUGGCACAGGCCCUUUGGAGGGCUCUGGGGAAUGUGAUGGCGUGGGUGAUGGGCGCCUUUG
Molecule: long non-coding RNA, 1127 nt
Filed under: Equus caballus (horse)
Lineage: Eukaryota; Metazoa; Chordata; Mammalia; Perissodactyla; Equidae
Description: lncRNA (ENSECAG00000054035.1)
Source: RNAcentral